UAAAGGCACAGGAGCUCUUCUAGGAAAAAAGGUGGCAACUCUCAAAUUUUUUAGGCGAAACUUUGUGUUCCCUGGCAUAGUCUACUCACAUGUGCUGGCCUGAAGGUGUGAAGCAAGACGACUUUCAAUAUGUAGUCGUAUUUCUGUCUGUAGUUUCCUUUGCAUGGAUGGGGAGGCUUGACACUAGAGAGCUGUCAGCCGACUGAAUGUCUACUCUAGAGUAACUCUCAUUGUUUAAUGGAGCUUACUCUCAGUAAAGAUUUUAGCCUAACACAACAUCUCUUGUAUCUUUCACCCACUUCAGUAUACAAGAUCCCUAUUUAAUUUACUGUGACAUACAGAUGUCAAUACCACUUAGAGAAGCCCUUUAAAAAUGAUACUUUACAGGGAGUCCGGUGUUGCUGUUUGGGCAUUUUGGUAGGUGAAGUCCCACUGAGUGCAAUAGGAUUACUUCUGAGGUGUAAAGCUCUGCACCCUGCUGCAAUGCACCCUCUCCACUCCCUAGCUCUGUCUCUGCAAAAGAGAGAGAGAAAAUAAAACCUCCUUAAUUGUAAUAUAGAAAGGAUAUAACCCUUAAUUUGGUCUACUGAGCAUUUUCAGCUGCCCAUCAUCUGACUCUCAUAUACACCAUGAAAUAGAAAUCUUUAAAGUUGGUUAAUUUACCAUGUUUUUAACCGAUUAAUCAGGGAGGUCAUCCUACAAGAGAUAUCACACCAUCUCUAUAUCCAAUAUGCAGCAAUAUUUAAAGGGUGGUUUAAAUGCAGAGAAUACAGGCUUCAGGGGAAAAACCCACACAAAAAUAAUUCAUAGCUAUAAUCAUUUAUUUAUUGGGAGGGAAAGCAACAACCAUGAAAGGAUUGUCCAUUGCAGGAGAUGGUUUCUAAUAGUGUCCCAAUUUUACAGAAUGCUAUUCAUUGCAUUAUAAAAUCCCAUUUAAAUAAUCACAGGUACAAUUUGGUCUACACUGACAUGAAAACAUGUUCCCAUUUUCAAGUUUAUACUUAGUAAGUUCAAAAUUUUCAAACCUUUUCUUAGUAAGUUCCAAAACCUCGGAUGAAUAGAUUAAGACUUACCCCUGGAAUUUGUCUGAAGUUAGUCUGGGUUAGCACAACCUCAUUUCAUUGGUAUUUAUAGCUGCCAAGGAGUAGCUCCUUAUUAAAUCUUUACCUCCAUGUAUACUCAGAUCAGAUGCAUAUUUAAGAAUAGGUGUGUGGCAGUCAAAAGCUGAAAUAAGCUACAGGGAAUUCAAUGGGAUUCACUCACUAGUAGGUAUGAAUACUGAUUGCUUUCACUGCUCUUUCAAGAACUCCCUUAAAAAUGGGUUCUUUAAGGGUGGCAAAACAAUGGGUUUGACUAUUCCAAAAUACUUAAUCCAGAGUAAAAUUGUGUGUGGCACCAUUCAAGAGAUCACAGCUGUUUCACCUGCAGAACAGGAGAUGGGGGAUGGAAGUCUAGUAAAUCAGCUGAAGUUUCAGAAACUUCCCUGCCUUAUAUCCAAAAUAGGUGACUUACCUACACUCGCACAAUAAAACCAAAAUGCAGAGCCAGAUGUUGCAAUAAGUCCAAUGAAUGUGUGAGCAGGUAAUAUAGGCAGGAGUGACACUGUUAACAGAAAACAUCUAAUUAACAGUGACUUCAUUUGAUUGGGAGGAUGAAAAAGCCUUUUUAAAUCAAUCCAGAUUUACUGGCCUCAGCACAACCAAUUUAUGGCUCUGGAGGCUGAGGAGAGUCUGCUUUCCCUCAAGAUGUCAUCCAAGGGGGAUAAGGGGCUAGGUGAAGUCAUUUGGUUAGCCUGUGGAAACCCCAGGAGUCCCUUGAUUUUGGGAUUGAAGUCCAUGCUGCUUCUUCAUUUUAUUAGGAACAGGCCAAGCCCAUCAUGAAGGCUCUCUCGGCUUCUUGAAGCAAUUAGGCCCUCCCAAUUAGCAUACUUCUCCUGACCCCAAGAGCUUCUCCAGGUCCUUGCAUUAGGCAGCUUUUUAAAGACAGGGAAAAUGUGAAUACAGCUUGGACUCUAACUGGUGAGGCCACAUUCAACAAAGCCUAUAUCUGGAGGUGGGGGUGGAUAAAUUAUACUGUCUGUUGCUCUGUCCCUAUAAGAGGGUUUCCUUAGACAUGUGGCAUUCCUGUAGCUAUUGGAUCAGAAUUCUUGACAUGCAUGUCCACCAGCAAUGCUGAUUUGGGGAUGAUGAGUGCUGGAGUCAGGUAUCAUCUGGAGGAUCACAGGUUUCUCACUUUUGCAGAUCCUGGAAGGGGUCUUGAAAUAAGGAAGAGUACCCUAGCACCUAAAUAUUUUAGAGGACUAAACUGUAGGAAACUAGAGCUUCACACAGAUGGCAAUUGUCAUUCAUAGAUAGCUUCUCUCAUUAUUAUAGCACUGUGAUGGGAAAGGUCGCCAGUCUUUGAUCCUGUGCAACUUUUAAAGGCAAGUGUUGAUCCUGUGAAUCAGAAGUUUUGCAUUCUAACCCAGAUGUGAGGGAGCUGGUUCUGUUUAGUAAUGAGAAAUAGUACUUUGCACAUGCAUAGAAACACUCUCCCUUUAUUGGUGCAUGGGAACUCCAGGGCUAAUAACAAGUUCUGGAGAUCUGUCAUGGUGAACAUAGACUGAAUUAAACUUUACCAAUGAAAUGAACACAGGGAUUCAAACUCAGGUUUUCCAAGGAUUCAGUACUUUUAAUGGAGGUAAAAGAGAAGGUAAAACAACAGUUAAGACCAAUGUUUAGUGAUGGUAAUAAAAAACCCAUAUCACUGCCAGCUUACAGAGAAAAAUGUACUCUGUUUAAUAAUGUUUAUUAUGCCUAUAACUUAAAUUAUUAAGUGGAGUAUAAAGGAGAACCUUUGAAUUUGGGGACUCUCUCUCUCUCACACACACACACACACACACACACACACACUCCUGUUUCCGCCUUUCCUUGUUUUCUACAAUACUUCAGCUGUUGCUAAAGAAAGUGAGAAGAGCAAGGAAGGUUCCCCUUUUGGUUUUCAAGGCACGACAUCUGGGCAUCGUCAGUGGUGCCUUCUGGGGCAGAAGUCCAAUUCCCUACUCAACAGAAUGGACACUGGAGCCCCUUCUAUCAAUGCAGGAGGGCUGGCUUGCCAUAAUUUGAAGUAAACGAAGUAAGAAUCAUUACUACCUGAAACAGGAACAAUUGAUUCCAAAGACUAAAAUGUCCUAAGUGCACCACUGGAUAUAACUAUGCCAACUGCUCAAUUACAGCAUGGGAAAGGGGUUGGGCUGGAGAGUAAGGAGGAGAGUGGGCUGAGGGACCAAGAGAAGCAGGGCUAUUCAGCAAUCCUUUGGCUCUCAUUGUCCUGCCUACAGCUAUACCUGAAGAUUGUCUUAGAUGAUACUAAACAUUGUGGUGAAAUGUUGGACCCAGGUUGCUUAGAGUGAAGUCCUAAGCAUACUUGCAUUGAAAGAAAGGCCUACAACAUCCAGCCAGCCAUGUUUAAUGUUCUGGCUGGACAUGCUUGGAACUCUUGGCCUUCUGUCUCUCUAAACAUGCAUACAAUUAUGGCUUUAAGGCUAAAAAAAUAAAUCACUUCCAUGAACUCUGGAACCAGAUGAACCAGGUUUUUAUACACAUGGUAUAUACCUUACAUUUUUAAGGGUUGAAGAGCUUUUCGAUCAUUAUCACCUCUGUCUUCACAAUGAUUUUGUGUAUGAGGUAGGUUGCAAGGUUUCCAGUCUUUCAGAUGGAGGAAGAGAAGUUACUGGUUAGAGGUACAUUUGGGUAGGAAUUUGAUUCCAGUCCCAACAUCUUGGGAAUACCAAGUAUGCCUUCGUAAUCCCAGAACCAGGCUGCUGACAUGCACUCUAGAUGGGAAGUGUCAGCUGACGCAGAAUUGGAAUUCUAUCUCCUGACAGCACUGGAUGGUUCACUGACAGCAUAUAAUGAUACCAUGGCUCUAAGACUGGCACUAUGUUCUUAUAACAUUCAAAAUGCUGAUUUUAUUCCUUUGAAGCCCUGUGCGGCUUGGUUCCAACACAGCAACACAAUGUCUACUAGCAUUGUCCAAGGCUGAAGCCUCAUAUCCACUUACCUGGGAAACAGCCCAGUGGAAUACAAUGAGAUUUAUGUCUGAGCAAACACAUACAGGAGUCCUGAUGUGGUCACGGCUCUUUCUUAACGGCAUUGUCCCCAUGCCCAAGUAGCAUGCUGCAUGCACAGAGAAGGCUUCCUAAGAGUGGCUGCAUUUAUUUCCUAUUUAGGCCUGUCAAAACUUAGGCUUUUCUGUUUGGUUUGGUUUUCGCUGCUGGAGACUAUGCUAGUUUCAAUCUGUUUUAUUAUUACUACCUAUGUUUAAAAUGGGUAAAGAUUUGAAAAAGUGAUUAUUUCUGCCACCAUGCAAUACAAUAUUGCUGUGCAUUGAAGAGUGAAAAAUACGGAGGAGGUUACUAAUAAGAGUAAGAAAGAGAUAGUAGCAACUUUAUGCUACAUUUAAUAUUACGCUUUGUCAGAAAGUGGCAUCAUUAUCCAUUAUGUUCUCCAUGAUAGGUUAAUUAUUAGUGGGAAAUGUCUAGUGGGCUCAGUCUAAUCCCAUCUCAGUUAUGAGCUCACUGGGAGGCAAUCCGAAAAUAUGUCUACUUGGAAGGAAGUCUUCUGAAUUUAAUGAGAAUUAUCCUGUCAGCUAUCUACCUGUCCAGUGAAGAUAUAGAUAGCCUUAUGAAGCUCUUAGAAGAAAAAAAAUGAUAGAAAUCUUAGUCGGGUCUCAGUCUGUGAUAAGGGUUUGCAUAGGAGCAGAUGCUGAAUAUCAGGACUCAGCUCCAGUUUUUUUAAGUGAAUUUAAACACAUGCAGAGUGCAUUUUACAUUCUAGUAAGGAUGUAUCCUCACUCUCAGCACAUAUCUGGAAAGAGGGGGGAAUGCUUUCAGAGUUUGGGACCUUAUAACUAGCCUGUCUCUUUUGGGAAACUCAAAACCCCAGUCUUCAGAGCACUUUGCUGUCAUAUGUGAGAACUGUCAAGGGAAGUUCAGAUGCAGACUUUGCUUCUCCGCCUUUUGCGCCUUGAUUUUUUCCCCCACUGUGUGGCCAUGGAAUGCCCUCCACUUCUUUUCCAAGACCAGACUACUGGAAAAGAUCUCCCCCCACCCCCCUGAAGAUUUGAUAGAUAUUAUAGGGGUCUUUUCUAUGUUUAGCAUAGCGUGAAGUCCAUUGCACACCCCUCCUUGCACUUUACCUUCUCGAGGGAAAUGGACAUUCACACCAACUUUGCACCCAAACUAAUAAAACCUUUUGAGAAAAAGUGUUUGCUUGAGCACUAAUGGAUUCUACUUUGCUUCAGACACUCAGCCUCAAUACUAGUCACAGUAUAUCACAUUGUUUUGGGCUUAGAGCAUUGAAACAGGAUUGUUUAACUCAAAAAUAAAAUAUGUAACCCCCAUAUAUGUGUGUGUGUGUGAGAAGAGGGAGAGGAAGAGAGAGAGCUGAAGGGGAGGCCUUAGCAGCUUGGUCAGAAAGGGUAACAUCCAUACUUGCAGCUACUAAACUAAUACUUGGUGGGACUUCUGAGCAAAGUUUUAUGGCAGAACUUAGCCGAAACAUUACUGCAACACACUGGAAAGCCAGUAUGUGUGUAAUGGUGAGAGUGCCAGACUAGGACUGAGGAGACCUUGGUUCAAGUCUCCACUCAACAAUCUAAAUAGGCAACAGAGAAAACAGACAAAAGACAGACGGUAAAUGAGAGACCAGUACUAAGAAGUGCAACAUUUGUCAGCAAACGCUGUUACACAUCUUUAAAGCUUUGUUAUGAUUGUGAAUAAGGGUGAAGGUCCAGUAACCUGGGAGGAAGCUGAAACAAGCACAGGGGGACUGGCUUCUGAAAAUCUUACAAAAUUGUCUUUUACAAUAUUUGCAGAAGCCUAGUGCUUGAAGAAAGGAAAUCCAGUUUGUAGAGAAACAGGGCCAGAGAAAUGGAAAUUCUCCAUCGAUACCCACAUCAUAUCCAGCCUCUUGGCUCUUGUCCUUCUUGUGGUACGUCAAAGAAGGCAUAGCUUCAUAAUCACUGUUGAUAGCAAUACCAGGCCCCAAAAUUAAUUCACAUAGAACACAUAAAUGUGUGUUCAAGUCAUGACAAAGAAGCACAAAUCUAGGUACCCUAAAAUGACUGUGCCCUAGAAGAGAGAUGGUCAUGGGACUGGCCAGAAGAGAAGUGACCCUUGACUUAAUCUUAAGUGGCACUUAGGACUUGAUGCAAGAUGUAAAAAGAAAGUUUAAACAAAAAGUGAAGUUCAUCAAAAUCUGCCAGAACAUUUGUGCAUGAGUAAUCAAACCACUAUAACAGAACCUCAGCUAGAAUCUAUACUAUGGAUAAGGAUAAGUACAACCAGUCCGGACCAGUUAGCUUAAGUGGCAACCCUAUUGCAAUGGUCAUAAGUCUCCCAACUUGGAGGCUUAUGCUCACCCUCUGCAGGCCAGGAGAACUGGCAGAGGUGAUCUCCAUCUCCCCAUCUGUGUGCGCUACAUUUUCACUCAGGUGUCUUUUUGUUUUGCUUGUGUAAUGAAAGCAUUUCAGAGAAGGAAGGAAAGAAAUUAGAGAGGUCCCUCUACGCUCACCAAAAUUUCUUCCUCUCUGAGGUUGGAUUCCUGACCUUGGAGAAGUAGCAGACAUGGUCACAAGUGGCGUGUGUGUGUGUGUGUGUGCUGGCCUUCAGGUUCCCCCUCCCUGUGGCUGGAAUACUGUGUCUGAGCUUGGAUUUGGGAAUCCAAGGUCUCCUAUGGUCCCUCAGGUGCUAUUUAGGGGCCAUAGGAUUGCUUCUUUGGGGUGUAGUCCUAUGUGUAUUUAGAAUCAAGAGUCCCUCAACUCUCAGCAUUCCCUAGCCAGCAGUGCUAUUUUUUUUUACCUUUUCCUGUCUAAAUAUGCAUUGGAUUACGUCGUUAUCUGUUCUGUAUAAUUUGGUGGAAAGCAAUAUUAAGGAUAACAUCUGUCUAACAUAUAUGGAACAAAUGUGGCUGAAGAAGAACCAAAAUGUGUUCUGAAAAGUUAAGUCCUUCCUUGCUGAUCUUUUAUAGGUCUUCAGGAGUGUCCGCAAGCAUGUAGAUAGGGGUGAUUCAAUACACACUAGGAUUUCCAAAAACCUUUUACAAAAUUCCUCCUCAAAGGCUCCUGAAUAAACUCAGCUGUAGUGGGAUAAGAGAAAGAGUCAGGCACUCUUAUGAAUUGGUGACUGGUUAAAGAGGAGAAAGCAGACACUAGGAAUAAUGGGCAGUUUUCACAAUGGAAGGAGAGAAGAAAUGGGAUUCCUUCAAGGAUCUGUUACUGGGACUGGUGCUGUUUAAUUUUUUCAUAAAUGAUCUGUAGAUAGGGGCAAGUUCUGAGAUGCCCAGGUUUUUUGAUGACACUGUGGUAGUAAAAAACAGAAAUGGAUUGUGGGCUUCAAAAAGAUUUCUCCAAAUGGUGUGAAUGAGCAAUAAAAUGGCAAAUGUGAUUCAAAAUAAGUAAGUAUAAAGUGAGAGAAAAACUCUGAUGGGGUGGUUGACCAGGAAAAAGAUCUUAGGGUUGUGAUGGUAAGCUCAAUUAAAACACAAAUCCAUGUGAGGCUGUGUGUUAGGGAUCAUUAUGAAGCAGAUGGGAAAUAAAACUGCAAGUAUAUAUAAGAAUAUGAAAUAGUGCCUUUAUAUGGAUGUGUGAUUCAUCCAUACUUAUGAUAAGGUGUAUAGUUCUGAAUGCUUUUUGGAAACAAUAUAAAAACUGGAAAAAGGUACAAAAUGGUGUGGGUUGUGUGUGCAGGGCAGGGUGAUCAGGGUGCAGGAGCAACUUUCUUAUGAGGAAAGGUUAGAACAUUUGGGCCUUUUUUGUUUGGAAAAAGGCAGGUGAGCAUAGAGAUGAUGGAGUAAAAGUUGUGCAUGGCUAUGGUGAAAGUGGAUACGGAGGUGUUUUUCUCAAAAUAAGAUGCUAGGGUUACCUCAUGAAGCUGAAUUGUAGGGGAUUCUGGGCAGAAGAAUAAAAGGAAAUUCUACGUCAAGCAGCAGAUAGUCAGACAAUGAAUUUCAUUAACACAAAUUGUAUUAAUGGCUGUUGACAUAACUGGCUUGAUAAGGGGAUUAGACAAACUCAUGGAGAAUAAAAGUAUAGGUGACUGCAAUUCAUGAUGCUUCUAUGCUACUUCUAGGAGGAGAUACAACAUGCCCAUGAACACUGGUUGCUGGGGAACAAUGUCAGAAGAUGUCUAUUGCCUUCUUGUGUGCUAUGGGAAGAUCUGUGGUUCUUACAAGAAAGGCUUGGCUCUGCUCAAGGAUGCCUGGAAGGUUUGGGGAGCUCGGGCCUCUUCAAGCUGAGUCUGAUCAUAGGAACGGACCAAGGAGAAGAAGGGGCGUACUGUUUGCAAACGGGCCUUGCCAUGACCAACUCCCGCGUGGGUAAGUGGAAAGGCAACGGGAAGAUGGUGCGAGGCUGCUUCAAGGCACGCACCCCAAGCCGUGUGUGAGGCUCGUCUUAAUAACCCCGGAAUAGUUUCCACCCAAUGCGGGCUCAGAUCACCCGUCGUUGCACCCAUGCAUCCUGCGUGCACAGCAUAGGUUUAAACGCGUAUCCAAAUGUCCCUCGAAGUAAGCUUUGCUGAAAGACAGAGGGAUUUACUUCUGCGGAAACGUUAAUCAUGGCUGCAUUGGCCGAAAUUCUUUUAACCAUGCCGGGAGCGCCGUCCCAAAGGGUCAUUUAGAGUGGCGAAAGUGGAUUUGACCCACUUUUCCUACGCCGAGAUAGUAGAGGAAGCAAACGCGGGAAGCAAACCCGUGAUGAUGGUGCGCUUGGAAGCAGGGCAGGGCCUGGUUCUGCGUGUAGCAGGCUGAUUCAGUGGUGUUACCUCCACAGUUCAGUAUUUAACGGAGUCCCAUUAAAUAUCAGAAUAGGGACGCAGGUGAAAAUUAAACAGCGCAGUCUUAGCGAUGUCUACUCGGAGGUAAGCUUGCUUAGUUAAAUGGGGCUAUAGCCUUCUGCUGGUUCAUCUACACUUGGUGGGAAUUGACUUCUGUAUGGACAGGUAUAGGGUUAGACUGUUUGUAUGGAAGAGGAACCUUUUACCAUGAUUGGAGCACUAGGUAUGAUUAAAAAGGCUAUACUUUCUGCCUCCUUAUUUAUGGGGAGCUUAAUCUAACUAGUGGAAACUACUGUGCAAUUACUCCAGACUGAAAAUGUGGUGCAGACUGGUGCGAUCUUGCAUAUGUGGCAUUGAACUGCUACUGUCGUAGGCCUCAGGUGGUGAAGAGGGUGCUCAGAUUUUGAGAAGCAGUGGAUGGGUCGAAAGCGGAUUGAGAAAAUAUAGUCAUUUACCCAAUCGUUUCUCACACCAGCCAGGGAAAGGGAGGGGAAAAAAAAUCUUUAUAGGGUGAAACAAGCAAUCAAGUGAAAUCUAUCCUCUUUAAAUAAACGGAUCCCUCUGUAUUUUCCCAGUGUUGGUGUAAGUUGUUGUCUGCAAUGUUCCCCUGGGCUUUUCCCUCUGCUCUCUGAUUUGGUGUAUAAAAGCAGUCCUGAAUGAUGGAUUACUGUGUCAUUGCAGCCUGCGAAGGAUUAAUUUGUUUCAUUGAUUUGUCUUUAGGCAGAUUGCCAGAAUCUGCCGCUUCCCACCUUUCCCCGAGACUUCCAGCAGUAAUAGACAGUAAUAGUCUAAGACAAAUCAGCCAGUUUUGUGUAAAAAUAGAAACACAGAGCCCCUUAUGGUCUUGGGGAGAAGUUGGUAGCCUGUGCAGUGUUGAGAAGUACUGGAUCUGUGAAUACUUUAAAGAGGGUGUUUAAAAUAGUAGUAAUAAUCCCUAAGGCAGAAGGGGGUGGGUGGAAAAGGAGGGGACUAUUUAAUUGGAAAUGACUGAAAACCAAGUUCGACACUUGUGUCCUGGGACCUAUCUUUGGUGCUAAGCUUCAUUGCCAGUGCUAAGCAAAAGAAAGUAAAACUAAAAAGAAGUGAGUGCCCCAGUAUGUGUAGAAUGCCUUUAUGCCUUUGGAUCUCUGAACUUCCACAGCCAUGGCUUCAUGAUCAGUUUCUCAUGCAGGAAGUCACUGGUCAGCAAUAAAUCCCAGGUAUAGCACACAACCUUGGAUUUAGAUCCUAAACAUGCACCUAAGGCUCUUUAGUGUUAGCACCAGCUAAAAUGCCCUUGCUUCUACAUAAUGAGAGGCCAUUGGAAAACCAUUAAAGGGCAUCAUGUUGAUACUCAGCCACAAGCUCUAGUUCCAUAGGAAAAAAAUAAGGAAAAGCAAGAGUUCAUUUUUUUUAUAUUAAGCGUCGGCCUAUAGCUAAUCUAUUAUCGAUCUGUCUCUCUGUAUGUCUGUCUGCAAUAUUGCUAAGAUAUGUCAGGCUUCAGAGUCCCCUCAUGAGUGCAAUGUAGAGAGAAAACCACCGGAUCAAUUUGUCUGGAAGCGUUAAGAGGGUCAUUUGGUUGGGUAAAAAAAUGAAUGACUCUAAAGCUAGGUGGGCAAUAUAAUAUUCAGCAGAGAGAAGUAAUACCCAUUACAUAAGGAGCUUGCCAAUCUGAUCCUCAGCCCAGUUUAGCUAGAGUAUUUGGGCUUUUGAACCAAUUUUACUCCCAAGGAAAUUAAAGGGUUUCAAACAGAAUUAAUCGAAAUGCCUUGUUUUCAGAGAACUGGUGAUAAGGCUGGUCCAGUUGGGAAAGUUUUAUGUUUUUAAAAACCACUAUCAGUCAACAACCCUAAAACAACAUUUUGGAGAUGCAGAGUAUCUCACCAAAGUGAUUUGUUUCCAGUGCUGGAAACCAUUGAUUUAUUAGUAACAGCUUAUAUUUUAUGUGAAAUUACUAGGCUGUCAAUCUAUUAAGGACUUUAAAAGAAGUUGACUGACUACUUUUGCCUGAUGCUUCAGUGAAUUGACCUGCUGUCUUUACCUGCAAGAGAGAUAAUAAAAGCAACAAUUUUCAAGCCUAGAGUGUCUCCUGGAUUCUGAUGGAAUGCCAGGACAGCCAGGGGCUGGGAACCAUUGUGGGAGACAAGUAUCUGAUCAGUUUCAAAAUUUAUCAAGGUGGAAUCUGCUCAAUGAAAGCCUUUUGACAAGAGUUAUUGUCCUAUGGUAUGUAUGCGUGGGGUUUUAAAAACUAUUUUGUGAACACUUGUAGAUGCUACUUCUCCUCCUUGGUGUUCAGAUAGGGAACUUCAACCUUUCUUUAUCUAAUACAACAUUUAAAAAAUGUACUUACGGUGGUAAAUUAUAAAGAUAAUUCCUCUUGAAAUAAUUUUGGCUAUGGGUAUUACUGUAGAUGAACAGGCAAGGAACUGAAACUGAAUAAACAAAUUUAGGACUAUUCUGUAAUUAUUCCACACCUAGAGAACAGCCAUACCUUUAUUAUGAUCAGCUCAGAUAGUAAAGCAAGUUCUUGAGUAUCUUGUUUUAAGUUCUUCAAAGCUCAUUAUCAGGCUGGAUGUUGAACAAAUGCAAGUGUGGGUGGAAGCAAGAAGUGGCACGAUAAAGCCACAUUAUCUGUUGUUUUAACAGUUUAAGACUGAGUUUUGCAGACUGAACUGGAUUGCCCUGUGCUAGUUGCUAACAGAUUUCAAGCAGGCUGCUGGGACAAGGCAAUAAUCAACCAAUCAAUUAUGGAACAAAUAUGGCUCUCUGCUUUUUGUGAGUUCAAGAGUAGACCCACUGAUAUGAAUGGCUUUCCUCAAUACAAAGAGAUAUGUGAAUACAAAAUACUGCUCUUGUUUAAUUCUUGUCUCUUAUGGUGCUAUAAGAGUAACUUGCUUAGAUGCAAGCCUGUCUAGUACUUUUUCCCUUGAACUAUAUUGGUUACUUUACAAUAGAAAUAAUUUACCUUCAUCGAGCUAUAAAAAUCAGUUAAAUAAAAUCCAUUUAGAGGUCCUCCUUCAUGAUCCCCAUUGACAGGCAUAGGAGGGAGCUAUGUAGUGAGCCAAUGUGGUUUCUGCAGAUCUUCUAGGCAGAUUUUGUUUAGUCUGAAAUUUGGAAAGAAGACAAAAGUCACAAAAUUCAGUGUUCUGCUUAAAGGUAGGAAUAUACACAAAGCUGUUAUCCAAAGAUCAGUGCAGACAAUCCUGCCCAUAGUAUGCCAAACAGCAUAUUGUUUCUUAUUUUAUUUCAGUUCUACGCUGAACUGUUAGCCAAAGUUCUCUGGGUAGUUCACAAACCAAACUUAAAAUCAUUAAAUAUGCUUAUAGAAUAUAAAUACAUUUAUAUAUACCAUAUAUUUAAAACAAGAGGACACCAAAGUAGGAAUCCAGUUAAAGAAACUAGUGCGCCACAACCUAUACAAGAGGAUACUCUACCCAAUAAAGCUGAGAUCCAUGUAUAGCCAUACUUGGACCAGGCCCACUGAAUCCUUGGGAUGUAAGUUAUUCAUGAUUAACUUGAUUAUGAUGACUUACUCCAACUGUGACUUGAUCUGGAUCCAACCCUUAAUAUUCCAGGUAGCUAAAGUGACCCGGACAAGUGAAUCAUCACAGGAAAAGAUGAACAUGCAAUGGGAGCACUAGUUAGUUUAGUUUGCUUCUAACUUCUUUUCAGAUCCUGUUUGCUGAAACAUCCAAUUCACAGAGGGAUUUAGAGUUGAGUAACCAUGAAUUGUGAAUAAACCUUGGGAAAUUAGGUAUGUGUCUUCAAAAUAAACUCCUAUAAGAUUCCUUUCCCUCACUUUUAUCAUAAAAUGCUAAGCAAUCUAUUCUACCUAAAAUAUAGAAAGAAUAUGACUUUCCUAAUGGCGUCCCAGUAAACUUGGUCAUCAUAUAAGUGGGAGAAAGUGGUCUGAGGACCACUGUGGCCACUGCCUUUAGUCCUACAUGCAUUCAUACUUGGAACUAAUGACUAAUGCAUAACUCGGGCAAUAAAUUCUACAUUUCUUAGGUCUGUUCCUAUGAACAAAUUCAGUUUUAACCUAUGCACUUCAUGCUUUGAUGAUCUGUCAUCAGUGACACGGUAAACACAAUAUAAUGAUGGGUAUGGUGUUGCUACGAAAAGCACAUACAAAUUGCCCUAUAAAGGCAUGUAUGAAGCAUAGUGGUGUGAUAUAACUGUACGGAGACAAAUUCCCCAAACCAAAUUAAAUAGAACACAGGUCCAGGAACCCGCUAAAGGCCUGUAACACACAAAUGACUAGACCAGUCAGUAUAGGAGGACUAGUACAGGAGGGUUGGACCUAUUUCAUCUUGAUGGCUGAAUUUUAUUUCAGAGAAAUUCUCAAUGGAUGCAAUCUAGUGGUGGGUGGGGCAGAAGACAAUAUGGGGCAGGGUCAAAAUACCUGCACAUUUUAGUUUAAACCGUUUAUUGCCAGUAACAAAGACUAAGGAGAGACAUUUUCAAAGUGCAAAAGCCAGGAAACUAGCAAAUGAUCAGUGGUUGUUGGAGAAAGGGGGGUUGGCCUUCUGGGAAACUCCAGGGAGCUGGAUUUGGCUCCCAGGUUGGCUGGGCUGGGCUGCUGAUCCUGAGGUUCUGCCCUUCUGAUUUAGGCCAUCCCUUCCCUCCCUCACAUCAGAUAAGGCUACAAAUCCUGUGCACAGUUUCUUGGGUAUAAACCCAACUGAACUUAGUGGGACUUUCAAGUUAACAGACAUUGCAUGAAGCUACAUCAGAAAUAUGUUCACAUGAAGUAUUUCCAGGAAGGAAGAUCUAUAUUUGUUGUUCCUUAAUGGAUCUUCCAAAAAUAAUUCAGGGUCAACUGAAAACGUGCUUCUUCUUAGAGGAGCAGAAAUCUUUUUAAAGCAAGGCUUCAAAUUGUUUAUGUAGUCCCCCAUAAUAAGUAGCCAAGCCAUGGCUCAAUAUAAUAAAGGAGAUCAUUGAUAAAAAAGCCUAAAAUGGCUCUCACUUGGGAGCACUUUAUGGUCACGUUUGCUAAUUCCUCAAAUGCUUUAUCAUCUCUUUUUCACACUGCGUGGCAAAUCUGAGCCAAAACAGUAAAUGUAUCCUUUUGCCCCCUUCUUCUGCCACCUACAAUAAAGCAGUAAGAUGAAUUUCAGUGAAAUCCAAAUCUGAAAGUCUAAAACAGGGCCGCAGCCUUUCAUCCCUACAAAACUGGAAAGAAACAAGAGCCAGCUAGAUUAGCAAACAUUAACCCCUCGAAUAGGAGUGCAUGCCUAUUGAAGUGACAGAUGUACUCUCCUCACGGAUUUACGCUUACUGUACCUUUUAACACUCAUCGGUUCUAAGAGCUGCAUAUAAAAGCACCUUCAUCCUUGUGACGGAAAGGCUUAAUGUUACAUUACGAUGUGUUUUCUCUAAUUUAUAUUGUUUGAAAACUUAAUUCUCAGUUAUUUCAUUCAAAGUGCACAUGAGAUUAACACUUAGCACCAGAACUAAUAUAACAUUGGGUGAGACCACACACAGCAUUUCCAGCUGUGACCUUAGGAUCAGUUUGUCUUUAGACCAAAUUGAGCCCCCCUGUCUAUGCCAGUGCUGGAUUUACACAUAGUUAAAGCUUAGUUUCUGUCCAUAUGGUGUCCUGAACUCCUGUAGGUUUCUUAGUAGUUGUACAUUAUUAACAUCUUUAUUCUCGUGAUCUAUGGGAAAUGUGCCUUUCAUCUGAACAAGCUUUUCUUAAGAAAGAGCUCCCCUCCCAGAGGUGGUAUUUUUGAAGCUUCAUAUAUGAAACUCUUAAGUACCAAAAUAAAGAAAACCCUUUUUAAAAUGUAAAAAAAAUAUGUUUUUGUCUGAUUAAAGCUAUUUUUCAGCUUUUGAAACAAGUUCAUAUUUUCAGAUCCCAGUUGAAACCAUGAACAGCUCUUCUGGGAUUCUUUUUAUUAUUAUUAUUUAAGAAAGACAAUGCUAUGUUCAGAUGAUGUCGCAUUUAAGUAAAUGAAUGAGAGCAUAGCUUUACUCUUUAUAUGAACAUAAAGACAAACUUGAAAGGGUAGUUGAUCCCUUGACCACUAAUAAAGACAGAUUCUGAUAUGCAACAGAAAUAGUGGUUCUAUUGAAUCAAACUGAGUAACCUAACCCCAGGCACAGAUGAGCUUGUAGAGCAGACACAGACAAGUGACCAACAUGUAUUUGAAUUGGGCAUGACUGUGAGAAAUACAUUGUACUCAAAGCCAAUGGGAGAGACUGAUGAUCAGUAGUUCAGUGGUUUUGUGGACUAUGAUCGGUCCUCAGACAGCAUCUUUGAUUAUUGGUGGCAAAUCUCUUCCCUGUGGGCUUUGUUACUCUCUUAAAAGUUGUUCUUAAAAUGGCAUUUGGAAACUUUUCCUGUGCAAAUCUUAUUGAAGUGAAAGGGGGUAUCACAUGUGCACAGAUACCUAUUUCCAUCAGCUGGCAGAGCAGAGGUUUUUAGGCUUGGUCAGAUGCAGCCUGUGAUGUAAAUGUUGAUGCUACAGGAACUAUGAAAUUAUAAAAAUUACAGAAGCUAUCUGUGAAAUCAGUAUUUUCAAAGUAUCUUACUCAGUGCCUUUUCAUUUACAUUAGGAAAGUCUAGCGGAAUGUUUCUUCACUCCUACCUUCAGUGCUUGCAUCUCUUUCAAGUAUGAAACAUUGAUUUUAAAAAAACAGCAGCUGGCCCAGAGUUUUCCUUCAUCAUUUCAUAGGGUUCCUCCUACCCCUUCAAUAUCAAUCAGGUUAUUUUUUCAGGACGGGAACCAGGAUCUAACACCUAGCACUUCAGAAUUGGCACUUGAUCCUCACAAGAAACAUAGGCCAGCAUUACAGAAUAGCAAUAACCCCAACCUGCCCAGCAGGUACAAGUUCAACAAAGAGACAUGCUAGCUUUGGGUUAGGGUCCCCCCCACUAUUUGUAAUUGGGAACAAGCGACUUUGGUCUCUUGCUAGUGCUAGAAAUCCAUAAUGGAAGCUGACGGAUGUUAAGUAGGUAAUAUUCCAGACACAGCAGCAUACGAGUAUUUUCUACUCCUACCAAUGGUGAGUGGUUACCAAUUGCAACUAAAGCAGGGAAGGAGGCAAAACAGACUCAAUUAAGUAGCAGCAAAUAAGAUUCUACCUCCUAGUCCAUACUCCAUAAUGUGAUGGCAAGGCAGAGUUGCAGGAAAUGGUAACCUACUAGUUUUACAGGAGAGACACUUUGAGGUGGAGGUGGAAUGUGGUCAGUGAACAUCCAUUGUCCUGAGACAACUGUUGGCCAGGACUACUGUUAAUUUCAUAAGAACAUAGCAUCCCCUGCCUGCCCCUCUGGUCUCUGAAUCAGCAAUUGGGUGAUCAGUUGGUACUUCUUGUUGGGCUGGAUUUGAUCCUGAGGCCUCUAGAUUGAUGUAGUGAAAGGCAGUCUUCCAGUUAGGAUGCUUUUAUCUAGCUGGCUUGAAAUACUCUCAGUUAUACUAUAAGUGUGGGACUGUGAAACAUGUAAGUAUUUAUGUUAGUGCCCUAAUUACUCAUUGUAGAAUCAAAGCUGUAAAGACAAAAGAAAGUGUACAGGUUUUUGUUUAAGCAGCUUCCAUCACUGCUUGCUGUGCAGCAAUAGAGAGAGGAUAGAUGAUUGAUAUCCUGGGCAUUUUGUUACUAUCCAUUGACAGAAGUAGUUGGCUUGAGAAGGCUUGUGCAAUAUUAAUUUAUUUUCCUAUGAUCACAGAAUCUUUCACUACUUCCCCACAAAUUAAGUUGAUUUGAGUUUUCCAUGCAAAACCGAUAAAAAUAACACAACACAUUGUUUUUUUUUUAAUAAAUUGUGAAAUCUAGUAGCCUGAUAGGUCUUAGUGAAUCCUUUUUUUGUGCAAGAACUUAUUAAUCACCUAGAAGUUUAAUGCAUUUGUGAUAUAAGACUAAGGGACAUUGAAAUGGCAAAUAUGCAAACAGCUUUGAAUGAUAUUUAAAGGGGAUGCUUAGUCUCCUGCCCAACCAUUAACCUCUGCCACUGCAAAGCUUUUAUAUUAAUGAUAGAAAAAAUCCACUUCCCUAUUCUAUUUGUUGUUAUAUCAGAGAUUAAGGUGAUGUUUGCCAAAUUACAUGAAGUGUAGCACAAUUCAGCCAAUCUGUCUAGUUAAAGAAUGCAAAUUCUAAUGAACAAUGAAUUUCUGCUAAUCCAAAAGGAAAUAUAUGCCAUGAGGAAAAAAAGGAAAGGAAAUGUUUAGUUUUGUUACAAGCAUCUGUUUUAUUAAAAAUGCAUUUGACAAAGUGCUAAAAAGUUACUCUGUGAACGCUUUGUUCUGUACAGUCCCUUUUGUUCCAUGUGGUGGGAUCUUGCAAAUGUAUAUUCUUAUGUUUGACCAAGCUAUCAGAAUUAGUUAUAUCCAAUUGUCUCUGUAACUCUACACUGCAUUAAACAUCUUAGCAGCUUUUUACUUUUACAACAUUUCAGAGUAUUGAGAAAAUUGCUACCAUUAACAAAAGUGGCUCUGAGGAGUCUGGAGGACUUCAGGAAUGUUAAUGUGUUGUACAGACUUAAACAUGUUAGUUCCAAUUUGUUCCAGAUAGAUAGGAAAGCAACCCAUCUGAUUGCAGUUUGGUAACCUUUGCAUGAGUUCAUACAUUACAUUUUGUAGCUGUCUUUUCAAGAGCUUCUUGCAGAAAGGAGGGGACCAAGUUUAGAUUGUCAGGGACUCAGCCGGUAACCUUAAUUUAUAUAAGCGGCACCAAUUAUGCUAUGCAUACAUGUUAAAGAUGCGUGCCUUAAUAUGCUUGCACUUCAAUUUUAAAGAUGUUUAUAUAAAACAAGUCCCAUUGAUUUCUGUAGAAUGUACUUCCGAGUGCCUAGGAUCAUAGCCUCACGCUUUAUGCUAAACGCAUUUACUUGGAAGUACAUGCCAUUGAUUUUGAUGGUAUAUACUUGUAAGUAAAUGGAGUCUUUAAGACACUUAAAUUCUUCAUUUCAUUCCAGUUUUCUAAAACACUUGAGCAUAUGAAUCACAUAUCCAAUGGGACCUAGGAGUGUUUUUUGGGGGAAAGCAUUCAAUAUUACAACAAUUUAAUAUCAUAAUAAAUCAAAUCUUGCAAUAACUCAUGCAUAUUCUUGCUAGUGUAUGAUAGUGCAGGGCCGCAGUUUAUUCAUAUUCUGUCUU
Molecule: long non-coding RNA, 17892 nt
Organism: Varanus komodoensis (Komodo dragon)
Lineage: Eukaryota; Metazoa; Chordata; Lepidosauria; Squamata; Varanidae
Exons: 3
Source: RefSeq, a predicted model, not a curated record